AACGCGAAGAACCUUACCUGGCCUUGACAUCCUAGGAAUCCCGAAGAGAUUUGGGAGUGCCGCAAGGAGCCUAGAGACAGGUGCUGCAUGGCUGUCGUCAGCUCGUGUCGUGAGAUGUUGGGUUAAGUCCCGCAACGAGCGCAACCCUUAUCUCCAGUUGCUACCAUUUAGUUGAGCACUCUGGCGAAACCGCCUCGGAUAACGGGGAGGAAGGUGGGGAUGACGUCAAGUCCUCAUGGCCUUUAUGUCCAGGGCUACACACGUGUUACAAUGCGCGCCACAAAGCGUUGCAAACCCGCGAGGGGGAGCUAAUCGCAAAAAAGCGCGCUCAGUUCGGAUUGCAGUCUGCAACUCGACUGCAUGAAGCCGGAAUCGCUAGUAAUGGCGCAUCAGAACGGCGCCGUGAAUACGUUCCCGGGCCUUGUACACACCGACUGUAC
This 440-nucleotide ribosomal RNA is filed under the name uncultured bacterium. RNAcentral's name for it is "bacterial SSU rRNA". It matches the Rfam family "Bacterial small subunit ribosomal RNA", at positions 958 to 1399 of the family's 1533-position model. The record is from RNAcentral.